Molecule: ribosomal RNA, 406 nt
Filed under: uncultured bacterium
Lineage: Bacteria
Description: bacterial SSU rRNA
Rfam family: Bacterial small subunit ribosomal RNA
Source: RNAcentral
GUCGGGAAUAUUGCGCAAUGGAGGAAACUCUGACGCAGUGACGCCGCGUGCAGGAAGAAGGUUUUCGGAUUGUAAACUGCUUUAGACAGGGAAGAAACAAGACAGUACCUGUAGAAUAAGCUCCGGCUAACUACGUGCCAGCAGCCGCGGUAAUACGUAGGGAGCAAGCGUUAUCCGGAUUUAUUGGGUGUAAAGGGUGCGUAGACGGGAAAACAAGUUAGUUGUGAAAUCCCUCGGCUUAACUGAGGAACUGCAACUAAAACUAUUUUUCUUGAGUGUUGGAGAGGAAAGUGGAAUUCCUAGUGUAGCGGUGAAAUGCGUAGAUAUUAGGAGGAACACCAGUGGCGAAGGCGACUUUCUGGACAAUAACUGACGUUGAGGCACGAAAGUGUGGGGAGCAAACAGG